Molecule: ribosomal RNA, 301 nt
Filed under: uncultured bacterium
Lineage: Bacteria
Description: partial 16S ribosomal RNA
Rfam family: Bacterial small subunit ribosomal RNA
Source: RNAcentral
CAGUAGCCACGGUAAUACGAAGGGUGCAAGCGUUAAUCGGAAUUACUGGGCGUAAAGCGUGCGCAGGCGGUUUUGUAAGACAGGCGUGAAAUCCCCGGGCUCAACCUGGGAAUGGCGCUUGUGACUGCAAAGCUAGAGUGCGGCAGAGGGGGAUGGAAUUCCGCGUGUAGCAGUGAAAUGCGUAGAUAUGCGGAGGAACACCGAUGGCGAAGGCAAUCCCCUGGGCCUGCACUGACGCUCAUGCACGAAAGCGUGGGGAGCAAACAGGAUUAGAUACCCCAGUAGUCCCUGUCUCUUAUAC